CAAUAGCGUAUAUUAAAGUUGUUGCGGUUAAAAGCUCGUAGUUGGAUUUCUGUUGAGGUCGACCGGUGCACACCUCGUGUGUUAUUUGGUUCGGUCUCGGCAUCCUCCUGGGGAACGUGUCAGGACUUUAUUGGACUGCGCGAGAUUCAGGACUUUUACUUUGAGGAAAUUAGAGUGUUCACGGCAGGCAAGUGCUUUGAAUACAUUAGCAUGGAAUAAUAAUCUAGGACUUCGGUUCUAUUUUGUUGGUUUCUUAGUACUGAAGUAAUGAUUGAUAGGGAUAGUUGGGGGUGGCGUAGUAUUGGCCGGCCAGAGGUGAAAUUCUUGGAUUCGGUCAAGACUAACUUAUGCGAAGCAUUCACCAAGGAUGUCUUCUUUAAUCAAGAACGAAAAGUUGGGGGAUCGAAGAUGAUUAGAUACCAU
Molecule: ribosomal RNA, 423 nt
Filed under: uncultured eukaryote
Lineage: Eukaryota
Description: bacterial SSU rRNA
Rfam family: Eukaryotic small subunit ribosomal RNA
Source: RNAcentral